Molecule: ribosomal RNA, 451 nt
Filed under: Prevotella pallens
Lineage: Bacteria; Pseudomonadati; Bacteroidota; Bacteroidia; Bacteroidales; Prevotellaceae
Description: bacterial SSU rRNA
Rfam family: Bacterial small subunit ribosomal RNA
Source: RNAcentral
UUUUACAAUGGAGAGUUUGAUCCUGGCUCAGGAUGAACGCUAGCUAUAGGCUUAACACAUGCAAGUCGAGGGGAAACGGCAUUAUGUGCUUGCACAUUUUGGACGUCGACCGGCGCACGGGUGAGUAUCGCGUAUCCAACCUGCCCUUUACUUGGGGAUACCCCGUUGAAAGACGGCCUAAUACCCGAUGUAAUUCAUUGAUGGCAUCAGAUAUGAAUAAAAGAUUUAUCGGUAAAGGAUGGGGAUGCGUCUGAUUAGCUUGUUGGUGAGGUAAAGGCUCACCAAGGCAACGAUCAGUAGGGGUUCUGAGAGGAAGGUCCCCCACAUUGGAACUGAGACACGGUCCAAACUCCUACGGGAGGCAGCAGUGAGGAAUAUUGGUCAAUGGGCGCAAGCCUGAACCAGCCAAGUAGCGUGCAGGAAGACGGCCCUAUGGGUUGUAAACUGCUUU